This is a long non-coding RNA of Eurytemora carolleeae, 391 nucleotides long. RefSeq lists it as uncharacterized. The transcript is spliced from 4 exons. The record is from RefSeq and is a predicted model, not a curated record. Lineage: Eukaryota; Metazoa; Arthropoda; Copepoda; Calanoida; Temoridae.
AAAAUCUGUCAUUCAGUAAAAUUAAAAAAAUUAUGGUUUUUAUUUCUCUUCCAAUACUAAAUGUUUUCUUAUUGCUCGACAAUUGUACAGAUCCCCAACAUUGUUCAUGAAAAAUGUUGUUCGUUCAAAGAAAAAAUUUCGUUCGCAAUAACGAUGGACAUCUCUAGGAGGAGGUGUAGAUGUUCACAGCAUAGCAACUCAAGUAUACCAGGUAGCUGAGAUGGAUGCAGGUCAGCAGGUUGACCUUGGUGCGCUUAGAGCACUAGCUGCAGCUCCAGGUUCUGAUACAGGAGGGCAGUCUACCCCUGUCGGACUAGGACAACAUAAGUCCCUCCACCUUGAUGAUGACCUGGAUGAAUCAUUAAGAAAAUAUACAGCUAAGUCUUCCCCC